Molecule: ribosomal RNA, 459 nt
Filed under: uncultured bacterium
Lineage: Bacteria
Description: partial 16S ribosomal RNA
Rfam family: Bacterial small subunit ribosomal RNA
Source: RNAcentral
CCUACGGGUGGCAGCAGUGAGGAAUAUUGGUCAAUGGUCGGGAGACUGAACCAGCCAAGCCGCGUGAGGGAUGAAGGUACAGAGUAUCGUAAACCUCUUUUGUCAGUGAACAAAGGCGGGGACGUGUCCCCGGCUGAGUGUACCUGAAGAAAAAGCAUCGGCUAACUCCGUGCCCGCAGCCGCGGUAAUACGGAGGAUGCGAGCGUUAUCCGGAUUUAUUGGGUUUAAAGGGUGGGCAGGCGGUCUGUUAAGUCAGCGGUCAAAGCCCGGGGCUCAACCCCGGCCCGACGUUGAAACUGGCAGUCUCGAGUUGGAGAGAAGUAUGCGGAAUGCGCGGUGUAGCGGUGAAAGGCAUAGAUAUCGCGCAGAACUCCGAUUGCGAAGGCAGCAUGCCGGCUCCACACUGACGCUGAGGCACGAAAGCGUGGGUAUCGAACAGGAUUAGAUACCCUAGUAGUC